This 28-nucleotide ribosomal RNA is filed under the name Gjaerumia minor. RNAcentral's name for it is "partial 28S ribosomal RNA". Lineage: Eukaryota; Fungi; Basidiomycota; Exobasidiomycetes; Georgefischeriales; Gjaerumiaceae. The record is from RNAcentral.
GGCUCCCUCAAUAGAUUACCACUCAGUA